RNAcentral lists this ribosomal RNA (514 nucleotides) under Nemesia sp. CRBAME000066. Its description in RNAcentral is "partial 16S ribosomal RNA". It matches the Rfam family "Bacterial large subunit ribosomal RNA", at positions 1838 to 2718 of the family's 2925-position model. The record is from RNAcentral. Lineage: Eukaryota; Metazoa; Arthropoda; Arachnida; Araneae; Nemesiidae.
CUACAGGAUAAUGUAGUGCCUGCUCUAUGUGUAUAAAUGGCCGCAGUUUCCUGUGCUAAGGUAGCAUAAUAAUUUGCCUUUUAAUUUAAGGCUCGAAUGAAAGGUAAAACAUAUUGAUUUCUUUAUUUUUUUAAAUUAUCUAACCUAACCUUUUAGUAAAAAGGCUAAAAUAUAUAAAAAAGACGACAAGACCCUGACAAACUUUACUUUAUAGUUUUGCUGGGGGGGCAAAAAAAUCUAAUCUUUUUUAUUGAAAAACAGAAAAAUUCUAUUUCUUUACAAGUUACUGCAGGGAUAACAGCAUAAUUUUUUCCUAAAGAUCUUAUAAAAGAAAAAGUUUAUGACCUCGAUGUUGAAUUAGAAUAACUAUUAAGAGCAAAAUCUUUUCAAGUAAGUCUGUUCGACUUUUAAUUUUCUACAUGAUUUGAGUUCAGACCGGCGCAAGCCAGGUCGGUUUCCAUCUUUUUUAAAAAAUUUUUAGUACGAAAGGACCAAAAUUUCUAUUUUAUAUAUC